This 366-nucleotide long non-coding RNA is filed under the name Olea europaea (common olive). Its description in RNAcentral is "long non-coding RNA (OEUR_LNC014296)". Lineage: Eukaryota; Viridiplantae; Streptophyta; Magnoliopsida; Lamiales; Oleaceae. The record is from RNAcentral.
CGGAUCAUAUAGAUAUAUUAUAGUGUAGACUCAUAAAGAGAUGCUGAGCCAACAAAAUUCUAGCAUAUCAAACAAUUUAGGAACACAAAUUGCAUGAAAUUUAAUCCAAAUGGAUAAAAGAUGAUUAACAGUGAAGUAAUAAUUCCUGAUUCUUAAGCUCAAGAGAUCCAGAUUUCUUGACAAAACCCUAGGAGACUAAUUAUCUGAUGUCAACAUAUAUAAACCUAACAAAUGUAUCAUCAUCACCGUUCCCAGCAAUUAAAGCAAGCAGGAUAUAGAUGAUAGAAAACCUGUCAAGCAAGGGUGGGUUGGUAGGGAAGGGGGAAGAUAGCUCUUCUUCAUUUUUUCUUUUCUUUUCUUUUCAUU